Molecule: ribosomal RNA, 548 nt
Filed under: uncultured bacterium
Lineage: Bacteria
Description: bacterial SSU rRNA
Rfam family: Bacterial small subunit ribosomal RNA
Source: RNAcentral
GGAAUAUUGCACAAUGGGCGGAAGCCUGAUGCAGCAACGCCGCGUGCGGGAUGACGGCCUUCGGGUUGUAAACCGCUUUCGCCUGUGACGAAGCGUGAGUGACGGUAAUGGGUAAAGAAGCACCGGCUAACUACGUGCCAGCAGCCGCGGUGAUACGUAGGGUGCGAGCGUUGUCCGGAUUUAUUGGGCGUAAAGGGCUCGUAGGUGGUUGAUCGCGUCGGAAGUGUAAUCUUGGGGCUUAACCCUGAGCGUGCUUUCGAUACGGGUUGACUUGAGGAAGGUAGGGGAGAAUGGAAUUCCUGGUGGAGCGGUGGAAUGCGCAGAUAUCAGGAGGAACACCAGUGGCGAAGGCGGUUCUCUGGGCCUUUCCUGACGCUGAGGAGCGAAAGCGUGGGGAGCGAACAGGCUUAGAUACCCUGGUAGUCCACGCUGUAAACGGUGGGUACUAGGUGUGGGGUCCAUUCCACGGGUUCCGUGCCGUAGCUAACGCUUUAAGUACCCCGCCUGGGGAGUACGGCCGCAAGGCUAAAACUCAAAGGAAUUGACGG